AGAGGAAGUAAAAGUCGUAACAAGGUUUCCGUAGGUGAACCUGCGGAAGGAUCAUUAUUGAAAAUGAAUCUAGAGUUGGCUGCUGCUGGCCCUUCCGGGGGCAUGUGCACGCCUUCUCUUUUUCAUCCCACACACACCUGUGCAUCUGUAAGACGGGGGGGUCUCAUUUAAUUAUGGACCUGUUCGUCUAUUAAACUACACAAAAUCUAUUUAAUUUAAACCGAAUGUAAUUGAUGUAACACAUCAUUUAAAACUAAGUUUCAACAACGGAUCUCUUGGCUCUCGCAUCGAUGAAGAACGCAGCGAAAUGCGAUAAGUAAUGUGAAUUGCAGAAUUCAGUGAAUCAUCGAAUCUUUGAACGCACCUUGCGCUCCUUGGUAUUCCUUGGAGCAUGCCUGUUUGAGUAUCAUGAAAUUCUCAAAGCAAGUCUUUUGUUAAUUCAAUUGGCUUUUGCUUUGGACUUGGAGGUUUUUGCAGAUUUUCACAAUCUGCUCCUCUUAAAUUCAUUAGCUGGAUCUCAGUAUAUGCUUGGUUCCACUCGGCGUGAUAAGUAUCACUCGCUGAGGACACCUUAAAAAAGUGGCCAGGAAAUGCAGAUGAACCGCUUCUAAUAGUCUAUUUAAUUAGACAAUACUCUAUGAUCUGAUCUCAAAUCAGGUAGGACUACCCGCUGAACUU
RNAcentral lists this ribosomal RNA (678 nucleotides) under uncultured Ceratobasidiaceae. RNAcentral's name for it is "eukaryotic LSU rRNA". The stretch from base 256 to 409 matches the Rfam family "5.8S ribosomal RNA". Lineage: Eukaryota; Fungi; Basidiomycota; Agaricomycetes; Cantharellales; Ceratobasidiaceae. The record is from RNAcentral.